UCUCAUGUGGGGUCUGCGUUUCCGGCGU
This 28-nucleotide small RNA is filed under the name Bombyx mori (domestic silkworm). RNAcentral describes it as "ovarian small RNA-29605". Lineage: Eukaryota; Metazoa; Arthropoda; Insecta; Lepidoptera; Bombycidae. The record is from RNAcentral.